This 322-nucleotide ribosomal RNA is filed under the name Klebsiella pneumoniae. RNAcentral describes it as "bacterial SSU rRNA". It matches the Rfam family "Bacterial small subunit ribosomal RNA", at positions 1 to 321 of the family's 1533-position model. Lineage: Bacteria; Pseudomonadati; Pseudomonadota; Gammaproteobacteria; Enterobacterales; Enterobacteriaceae. The record is from RNAcentral.
AAAUUGAAGAGUUUGAUCAUGGCUCAGAUUGAACGCUGGCGGCAGGCCUAACACAUGCAAGUCGAGCGGUAACACAGAGAGCUUGCUCUCGGGUGACGAGCGGCGGACGGGUGAGUAAUGUCUGGGAAACUGCCUGAUGGAGGGGGAUAACUACUGGAAACGGUAGCUAAUACCGCAUAACGUCGCAAGACCAAAGUGGGGGACCUUCGGGCCUCAUGCCAUCAGAUGUGCCCAGAUGGGAUUAGCUAGUAGGUGGGGUAACGGCUCACCUAGGCGACGAUCCCUAGCUGGUCUGAGAGGAUGACCAGCCACACUGGAACUG